This 269-nucleotide unclassified non-coding RNA is filed under the name plant metagenome. Its description in RNAcentral is "partial contains small subunit ribosomal RNA, internal transcribed spacer 1, and 5.8S ribosomal RNA". The record is from RNAcentral.
UUUCCGUAGGUGAACCUGCGGAAGAAUCAUUAAUGAGUUGUCAUGGGGUUCGAUGCUGGCAGCCAAUUUUUGGAUGCAUGUGCUUGCCCUAACAAUCAUCUUCCAAACACCUGUGCACAUUUUUGAGGGAGUCUUGAGUUGGUUGCCGCUCUUGGGUGAUUUUCUCACAUUCCCUUAAAUCAUUAUACGCUAUUAACAAUGUUGAACGUGCUCUGUGCCGCAAGGCUAUUAAUAUAAUACAACUUUUAACAACGGAUCUCUUGGCUCUC